AUUCAAUACAUAGAUCUAAUUAUACGAUGCGUACCUUUUGAUGUCAUCCGUUCAGAGAUCUUGUUUGAUCUGCUCAGCACCGUGAUCCAAGAUUGCUGCGCUCCGUCUUUAAUCCAAUCGCGCUGCGGAAUCUGCAGGGAGUGCGAAGAGUAGACCCUUUCUCCUCUCUUCCUAUCCUUUCACAGGAUCACACAAAUUGAUGGAUUUGGGGAGAGGGUUUUGGGGGAGAGAGUCGAGGAGAAUAACUCUAGAGGGAGAGGGUUUUGGGGGAGAGAGUCGAGGAGAAUAACUCUAGAGAUCCUGUCCGUUUAUAGGCGAGAGCAGAGGGUCUACGAUGAGAUCUCAGAAGAUAUCCUCCCAUCAAGAAUAUCUCCGAGGAAUCGUUCCGUAGUGGACUUAGUCUUUAUUGGCUAAAAUAUCGCAACGGAACCCAAUUAGCUAUUCUAUCUUAUUCAAUUAUAAAAAUGGCCACAUAUUCUAACAAAUCUAUCCAGUGCUAUGCAUGAGACCGGUGUAUCGGAGGACGCGGCUCGUGGGCAUAUCAGGGGAUUAAUCAAGGGGAAUUGGAGAGCAAUAAACGGAAAUCGAAGUUUCACUUCGCCUUUUGAGGAAAACCUGAA
RNAcentral lists this long non-coding RNA (620 nucleotides) under Musa acuminata (dwarf banana). RNAcentral's name for it is "long non-coding RNA (MACU_LNC010876)". Lineage: Eukaryota; Viridiplantae; Streptophyta; Magnoliopsida; Zingiberales; Musaceae. The record is from RNAcentral.